RNAcentral lists this long non-coding RNA (912 nucleotides) under Linum usitatissimum (flax). RNAcentral describes it as "long non-coding RNA (LUSI_LNC002997)". Lineage: Eukaryota; Viridiplantae; Streptophyta; Magnoliopsida; Malpighiales; Linaceae. The record is from RNAcentral.
CGAAAAUUUGUUCAAACUCCGAUCAGUAGAGUAGUCCACUUUCGCCGGAGAUGGCAGCGAGAAAGAGGAGAUUAUCUCGAUCAGGCGUUGUUGUUUUCAGGGACCCUUGAUAAAGAUCGGGCGGCGGCUGUUGCUUCGGAACUGUGAAGUUGGGGAUGAUGAUCAGCUGGUCAUCACGUCUAAUCUACCGGCUGAUUCAUCGUCGUCGUCGUCUGUCACGGAUGAGCUAAUUCAUCCCCCUCGGAGUUACUAGCAGUUAGUGAGUCUGAGGCUUCCUUCUUCCUCUGCUGUGUCAAUCAACGAGUGGAACCUUGAUGCGUGGGAGGUAAAUGGACUAAAUAAGUUCUUUAUGCAGUUGUUUGAUGGAAUGUAGUUGCUAAAAGAUGGAUUCAGAAGGACUUGUGAAAUUCUUCACCUGCUAAUAUUACUAGAAUAGGCCAACGAAGAUGAUUUUGCAUUUGUCAGAAACCUUCUGAAAACUGGUCCAAGAUGAAUCAAUUUGAGUGGGGUUUUCCUUGAUCUGUGAAAGUGAAGUCUGCCGGAUCAUUUAAUCAUAAUUUGUCUUAGCGGAGCAAAGGGAUGUUCUUAUAUAAAGAAAGAAAACGAGGAGGAGAAAGAAAUCAAGCAGCUAUUCAACCUUUCUGGCAAGAAAAUCUUCUAGUCUUCAGCUCCUCAUUACAUAAGGCAUGGGGCAUGGCAGGCUUCUUGCCGCUCACAUCCUGUUGCUGCUGCUUCUUCACUCAUGUCAUUCUUCUAGCGAGCCUCAAGGUAAUUAAUUUGACACUAUACAUAGAGUAGUUUCCAUGACUUUGAACUGAUGAAUUCGAGUCGUUGUAUUUGCAGGAGCGAAAUUUCCUUACAUGACUUCAAAUUUCAAUGAGGUAGCAGGGGAGUCGUUCGACUACAUCGUGG